AGAUUGAACGCUGGCGGCGUGCCUAACACAUGCAAGUCGAGCGGUAACAGGUGUAGCAAUACAUGCUGACGAGCGGCGAACGGGUGAGUAAUGCUUUGGAAUCUUCCCAGUAGUGGGGAAUAACCAGUCGAAAGAUUGGCUAAUACCGCAUACGUCUGUAAAGGGAAAGCGGGGGCUCGUAAGACCUCGCGCUAUUGGAUGAGCCAAAGUCGGAUUAGCUAGUUGGUGGGGUAAUGGCCUACCAAGGCGACAAUCCGUAGCUGGUCUGAGAGGACGACCAGCCACACCGGAACUGAGACACGGUCCGGACUCCUACGGGAGGCAGCAGUGGGGAAUAUUGGACAAUGGGGGAAACCCUGAUCCAGCGACGCCGCGUGUGUGAAGAGGCCUGCGGUUGUAAAGCACUUUAGUGGGACAAAAGCUACGGAUUAAUACUCUGUGGUCUUGAUUUAACCCAAGAAAAAGCACCGGCUAACUCUGUGCCAGCAGCCGCGGU
This 496-nucleotide ribosomal RNA is filed under the name uncultured bacterium. Its description in RNAcentral is "SSU rRNA". It matches the Rfam family "Bacterial small subunit ribosomal RNA", at positions 26 to 521 of the family's 1533-position model. The record is from RNAcentral.